Molecule: ribosomal RNA, 254 nt
Filed under: uncultured bacterium
Lineage: Bacteria
Description: partial 16S ribosomal RNA
Rfam family: Bacterial small subunit ribosomal RNA
Source: RNAcentral
UACGUAGGGUCCAAGCGUUAAUCGGAAUUACUGGGCGUAAAGCGUGCGUAGGCGGUUUCGCAAGUCCGAUGUGAAAUCCCCGGGCUUAACCUGGGAACUGCGUUGGAAACUACGAAGCUAGAGUGCGGCAGAGGGGGGUGGAAUUCCAGGUGUAGCAGUGAAAUGCGUAGAUAUCGAGAGGAACACCUGCGGCGAAGGCGGGUUGCUGGGCUGACACUGACGCUGACAGCGCGAAAGCUAGGGGAGCGAACGGG